GUCCACGCUGUAAACGAUGAGCACUAGGUGUCGUGGGUAUUGACCCCCGCGGUGCCGACGCUAACGCAUUAAGUGCUCCGCCUGGGGACUACGGCAGCAAGGUUAAAACUCAAAGGAAUUGACGGGGGCCCGCACAAGCGGUGGAGCAUGUGGUUCAAUUCGACGCAACGCGAAGAACCUUACCUGGGCUAGACAACGGUGGACCGCCCCAGAGAUGGGGUUUUCCCUUCGGGGACUGCCGGUUCAGGUGCUGCAUGGCUGUCGU
This 265-nucleotide ribosomal RNA is filed under the name uncultured bacterium. Its description in RNAcentral is "partial 16S ribosomal RNA". It matches the Rfam family "Bacterial small subunit ribosomal RNA", at positions 793 to 1055 of the family's 1533-position model. The record is from RNAcentral.